AGUGAACGCUGGCGGUAUGCCUAACACAUGCAAGUCGAACGGCAACACAGUAAGAUCUCUCUCCUACGGGUGGCGAGUGGCGGAUGGGUGAGGAAUACAUCGGCAUCUACUUUUUCGUGGGUGAUUACGUAGGAAAACUUACGCUACUACCGCAUACGACCUACGGGUGAAAGCAGUGGAUCUUCGGACCUUUCGCGAUUGAAUGAGCCGAUGUCGGAUUAGCUAGUUGGCAUGGUAAAGGCCCACCAAGGCGACGAUCCGUAGCUGGUCUGAGAGGAUGAUCAGCCACACUGGAACUGAGACACGGUCCAGACUCCUACGGGAGGCAGCAGUGGGGAAUCUUCGACAAUGGGCGAAAGCCUGAUGCAGCAACGCCGCGUGAGUGAUGAAGGCCUUCGGAUUGUAAAGCCCUUUUAUUAGGAAAGAAAAGCUGCGGAUGUAUCCACGCACGUUCUGACGGUACCCAAACAGAAAGCACCGGCUAACUUCGUG
RNAcentral lists this ribosomal RNA (492 nucleotides) under uncultured bacterium. Its description in RNAcentral is "partial 16S ribosomal RNA". It matches the Rfam family "Bacterial small subunit ribosomal RNA", at positions 29 to 507 of the family's 1533-position model. The record is from RNAcentral.